Molecule: ribosomal RNA, 235 nt
Filed under: uncultured bacterium
Lineage: Bacteria
Description: partial 16S ribosomal RNA
Rfam family: Bacterial small subunit ribosomal RNA
Source: RNAcentral
CGAACGGGUGAGUAACACGUGAGCAACCUGCCCCGAAGACCGGGAUAACAUCGGGAAACCGGUGCUAAUACCGGAUGCCCUCACCGGGCCGCAUGACCUGGUGAGGAAAUGAAUUUCGCUUCGGGAGGGGCUCGCGGGCUAUCAGCUUGUUGGUGAGGUAACGGCCCACCAAGGCUACGACGGCUAGCUGGUCUGAGAGGACGACCAGCCACACUGGGACUGAGACACGGCCCAG